AAGUCGUAACAAGGUUUCCGUAGGUGAACCUGCGGAAGGAUCAUUACCGUAUAUUUGCUUCAAUAGCAAGAUACACUGUUGCCGUCCCCGUAAUCGUUGCGCGGUCCAAGGGGCUCUGAGGCGGGUGAAACCGUCUGGAGCCGGCGCGACGCGGCGGUCUCGAUGCCGUCGUUACGCAGAAACUAACAAGCAAGCGCCGACGCGUGCUGCCGUAAAUCGGGUACCUUCAGCAGCCGGCCGUAUUGGCGAGGUUUAAUGAACCGUCGUCGGUCGCCCGGGCGCGCGUCGCGUUGCGCAUUUCUUUAACCGUCACUGUUGUUAAAUUUGCCGUUGACUCAGCGUCGCUCGAUGCCUCGAGAGACUAAAGUCAAAGUAAAAACGAAAUAAAACUCUUGGCGGUGGAUCACUCGGCUCGUGU
RNAcentral lists this unclassified non-coding RNA (418 nucleotides) under fungal sp. RNAcentral's name for it is "partial internal transcribed spacer region". The stretch from base 1 to 46 matches the Rfam family "Eukaryotic small subunit ribosomal RNA", at positions 1786 to 1831 of the family's 1831-position model. The record is from RNAcentral. Lineage: Eukaryota; Fungi.